RNAcentral lists this ribosomal RNA (490 nucleotides) under uncultured bacterium. Its description in RNAcentral is "partial 16S ribosomal RNA". It matches the Rfam family "Bacterial small subunit ribosomal RNA", at positions 28 to 507 of the family's 1533-position model. The record is from RNAcentral.
GAUGAACGCUAGCUACAGGCUUAACACAUGCAAGUCGCGGGGCAGCAUGGGGGUUGCUUGCAAUCCCCGAUGGCGACCGGCGCACGGGUGAGUAACGCGUAUCCAACCUGCCCUUCACCACGGGAUAACCCGGCGAAAGUCGGACUAAUACCGUAUGUUGUCCAUUGACGGCAUCCGAUUUGGACGAAAGGUUUGGCGGUGAAGGCUGGGUAUGCGUCCGAUUAGCUGGACGGCGGGGUGACGGCCCACCGUGGCGACGAUCGGUAGGGGUUCUGAGAGGAAGGUCCCCCACACUGGAACUGAGACACGGUCCAGACUCCUACGGGAGGCAGCAGUGAGGAAUAUUGGUCAAUGGGCGUAAGCCUGAACCAGCCAAGUAGCGUGCAGGAUGACGGCCCUAUGGGUUGUAAACUGCUUUUAUGCGGGGAUAAAGUGGCCCACGUGUGGGUUUUUGCAGGUACCGCAUGAAUAAGGACCGGCUAAUUCCGUG